Molecule: long non-coding RNA, 1024 nt
Filed under: Lepidothrix coronata (blue-crowned manakin)
Lineage: Eukaryota; Metazoa; Chordata; Aves; Passeriformes; Pipridae
Description: lncRNA (ENSLCOG00000008749.1)
Source: RNAcentral
GUCGGACACUGUCUGGAAAUUUUUUGGUUGCAUAUAGGAACUAAUUCUGCAAGCCUUAAUAUCCAAAAUAUUAUUUCAUCUUUAUCAUUGAGGGGAUGUUCUGCAUAGUAGGAGCCUCAACUGACCUCUGCAGUGCAGGGCUGUGCUCAAUGGGCACGCAGUGCUGCCUUCAGCACCAUGAUCCAGCUGGGGCUGCAGACAUUACCCGAGCUCUUCAAGCAAAUCCAAAUAGGCAGCUUUUACCCACCCCUGAGUGGUACCUGCCUCAUGCUUUCAGUACAAGGCUGCAUGGCACAACAUGCACUCGGUGCUCUGGCAUGGAGGGAAGCAGGAGCUGAGCAGCUGAUGCUGGGGCAGGAAGAGGGACUAGAAAGGUGGUUGAUCCUCCAGCUGCUGCAAGGGUGACUGCUGGUCAUCCUGCCACUGUUCCACCCCUGGCUGCAUAGGGGAUGUGCUUCCCUAUGCCUGGUAUGCUGGGGAAUGGCACAUUGCCUGCCCUGUCCUAAGGCGCCGUGCUUUCUGAUCUCUUCCUCCAGAUUUUGCCUUCGUUUAAGACAUUUGCCUUCAAAUUGUCCCUAGAUCCAGGGAGAGACUCGAGAAACAUAGCUUAACACAUUAGACUAGAGCAAAGUGAAUGUCAUUACCCCACAUGCCUGUGGAUGCAGCUGUACGAGGCUUCUGUCAAAUCACCUGCUACUCCAUCCCUUCCUGCAUGAAGUUGGCUGGCAGCCAGGCUAGAAAAGCCCCAACAACAGCUCAGGAGCCCAGCACAGGCAUCCCUCAUCAGGUGGAGAGGAGCAGUGCCUGCAGCUCCCAGUGGCUUUGCACAUCCAUGCCCAAGGCUUCUCCUACAUCUUUGGCUGUAGAAGAAUAUUUCAACUACCCUAACAGUUAAAAAAACGCCUGCUAGUUGUUUAUUGUUCAAGCAUUCCUGCUGCUUCCCAGUAGUUAAUGGAGGAAAUGCCAUGGGAGCCAAGGGAGAAACUGGUCAAGGGAAGCAGAAUAAAUUAGGAUCAUUGUUUCA